Macaca mulatta (Rhesus monkey) is the source of this 569-nucleotide non-coding RNA. The record is from RefSeq and is a predicted model, not a curated record. Lineage: Eukaryota; Metazoa; Chordata; Mammalia; Primates; Cercopithecidae.
UUCCAAGACAACAUCUCUGGACCCACCUGGGGCCUGGGGAAGCUCACUGCCCUGAAGGAAAGCAGGAUCACCAGCAAGAGAACGAGAGCACAGAUACAUGGAAUCAGGACCAGCAAUAGGAACCGGAGGGGGUUAGCAGUCGCCAGCUUCUGAGAGCAGCCAUUGCCCAUGUUAUUGUCAUCAGCUCUCAAGACCUAAAGUAAAAGAGGAAAACGCAACAUGGUUUUAGUUUUACAAUACAAGGGACAAGAUGGAGGAAGAUGAACAAGAUGGCGCAGUCCCUGUUGCUUCCAGGUUCUUCAUCACCAACUUGCCUGUGCCCGGGAAAGUGUGGAUCAACUGAGCAUGCGCCACAUGACAUCAAUCUGAAGAAACCGAAACUUACCCGACCACGCCUAUGAAGACGCCCCUAUCCCGCCCACUGCCCUCCCCUUUCCGGUGCCAAUGCAUAAAAGUUCACCACCAGCAGGAGCCGGCGUGACUUCCCUGGCCCCAUACUUGUGGACCGGAGAACCUCGCCCGAGAGUUGCUGCAUAUUUGCAAUUAAAACCUGCCACUUUCUUACUUAA